This 503-nucleotide ribosomal RNA is filed under the name uncultured bacterium. RNAcentral describes it as "partial 16S ribosomal RNA". It matches the Rfam family "Bacterial small subunit ribosomal RNA", at positions 28 to 507 of the family's 1533-position model. The record is from RNAcentral.
GACGAACGCUGGCGGCGUGCUUAACACAUGCAAGUCGAACGGUGAAGCGCUUUCCUUUUUGGUUGGUGUGGAUGAGUGGCGAACGGGUGAGUAACACGUGAGUAACCUGCCCCCUUCUUCUGGAUAACCGCAUGAAAGUGUGGCUAAUACGGGAUAUUCUGCGCCUGCUGCAUGGUGGGUGUGGGAAAGAUUGUGCCUUUGGGUGUUUUCGGUGGGGGAUGGGCUCGCGGCCUAUCAGCUUGUUGGUGGGGUGAUGGCCUACCAAGGCGGUGACGGGUAGCCGGCCUGAGAGGGUGGACGGUCACACUGGGACUGAGACACGGCCCAGACUCCUACGGGAGGCAGCAGUGGGGAAUAUUGCACAAGGGGCGCAAGCCUGAUGCAGCGACGCCGCGUGAGGGAUGGAGGCCUUCGGGUUGUGAACCUCUUUCGCCAGUGAAGCAGGCCUGCUCCUUGUGGGUGGGUUGACGGUAGCUGGAUAAGAAGCGCCGGCUAACUACGUG